GUAGAUUGAGUCGAUGGUUUGAAAGCCGGGGAUUAAUCCCAUGGCAGAGUAAGUUGUUUGAUUGAGCCCACAUCUCCAACUCAUUUAGCCCCCGUUUGCCUUACAAAUUUUCAAAACUUAUUCUUCUUCAAAUUCAUUUUCAACCACACAUUUCAUAGGGACGACAACUUGUCCACAAUUUUUAUUAAAUUUUCAACUGAUAUUUCAUUAGUUUCAUCAAAAUCUACUAAAUCUCUAAUUUUUAGCUACACCAAAAAGGGCCUUAGUUCGGUCGCAUUGGUAAGUUUGACUAAUUUUGAUAUUUAUGAUGAAUUUGCAGGUGUGAGCUCUCUAACAUUAGGAGGGCAGAAUAAGAACCAGUUGGUGGUGACUGGAGAAGGGAUGGACAUAACCAAGUUGUGUGUGAGACUAAGGAACAAGAUUGGAUACACACAAAUUGUCAGUGUAUCGGAGGUUAAAUGAAACCAACAUAAGAAAAAUGUCAUCCUAGGAAUCCCAGAGCUUGUUUGCACAAAUUAUUACGUUGUUUUGUAUGUGUCUAUUGUUGAACUCACGUCUAUCAAAUGAAAUAAUUAGUGUAUUAGACUGAACAGACCGGCAUAAAUAUAUACUUCUUAAUCCGUGUCAUUACUUUUUAGAUUGCUCUUUAAUUUGAUAGGUAAGUUUCAUAAAAUUAUUCAAUAAAUCAACUCUAUCACUAUCCAUGUGGCAUGUAUAAAUAAAAGAAAGCAACCAAGGACCAAGGAUAAAAUGUUUGGUUUCGAAUC
RNAcentral lists this long non-coding RNA (767 nucleotides) under Olea europaea (common olive). RNAcentral describes it as "long non-coding RNA (OEUR_LNC005020)". Lineage: Eukaryota; Viridiplantae; Streptophyta; Magnoliopsida; Lamiales; Oleaceae. The record is from RNAcentral.